AGGAUUAGAUACCCUGGUAGUCCACGCCCUAAACGAUGUAUGCUAGUUGUUGGGGUGCUAGUCAUCUCAGUAAUGCAGCUAACGCAUUAAGCAUACCGCCUGGGGAGUACGGUCGCAAGAUUAAAACUCAAAGGAAUAGACGGGGACCCGCACAAGCGGUGGAGCAUGUGGUUUAAUUCGAAGAUACGCGAAGAACCUUACCUAGGCUUGAUAUCCAACAAAUUCUGUAGAGAUACGGAAGUGCUAGCUUGCUAGAAUGUUGAGACAGGUGCUGCACGGCUGUCGUCAGCUCGUGUCGUGAGAUGUUGGGUUAAGUCCCGCAACGAGCGCAACCCUCGUCCUUAGUUGCUAACGAUUCGGUCGAGCACUCUAAGGAGACUGCCUUCGUAAGGAGGAGGAAGGUGGGGACGACGUCAAGUCAUCAUGGCCCUUACGCCUAGGGCGACACACGUGCUACAAUGGCAUAUACAAUGAGACGCAAUACCGCGAGGUGGAGCAAAUCUAUAAAAUAUGUCCCAGUUCGGAUUGUUCUCUGCAACUCGAGAGCAUGAAGCCGGAAUCGCUAGUAAUCGCAAAUCAGCCAUGUUGCGGUGAAUACGUUCCCGGGUCUUGUACUCACCGCCCGUCACACCAUGGGAGUUGAUUUCACUCGAAGUGGAAAUACUAAACUAGUUAUCCCCCACAGUGGAAUCAGCGACUGGGGUGAAGUCGUAACAAGGUAACCGUAGGAGAACCUGCGGUUGGAUCACCUCCUUU
RNAcentral lists this ribosomal RNA (756 nucleotides) under Campylobacter upsaliensis. Its description in RNAcentral is "bacterial SSU rRNA". It matches the Rfam family "Bacterial small subunit ribosomal RNA", at positions 774 to 1533 of the family's 1533-position model. Lineage: Bacteria; Pseudomonadati; Campylobacterota; Epsilonproteobacteria; Campylobacterales; Campylobacteraceae. The record is from RNAcentral.